UACGGAGGAUCCAAGCGUUAUCCGGAAUCAUUGGGUUUAAAGGGUCCGUAGGCGGUCUAGUAAGUCAGUGGUGAAAGCCCAUCGCUCAACGGUGGAACGGCCAUUGAUACUCUGGACUUGAAUUAUUGGGAAGCAACUAGAAUAUGUAGUGUAGCGGUGAAAUGCUUAGAGAUUACAUGGAAUACCAAUUGCGAAGGCAGGUUGCUACCAAUUGAUUUGACGCUGAUGGACGAAAGCGUGGGUAGCGAACAGG
Molecule: ribosomal RNA, 253 nt
Filed under: uncultured bacterium
Lineage: Bacteria
Description: partial 16S ribosomal RNA
Rfam family: Bacterial small subunit ribosomal RNA
Source: RNAcentral